Molecule: ribosomal RNA, 817 nt
Filed under: Bacillus anthracis (anthrax bacterium)
Lineage: Bacteria; Bacillati; Bacillota; Bacilli; Caryophanales; Bacillaceae
Description: bacterial SSU rRNA
Rfam family: Bacterial small subunit ribosomal RNA
Source: RNAcentral
CAGAGUUUUGAAUAUCUGGCUCAGGAUGAACGCUGGCGGCGUGUAUAAUAUAUGCAAGUCGAGCGAAUGGAUUAAGAGCUUGCUCUUAUGAAGUUAGCGGCGGACGGGUGAGUAACACGUGGGUAACCUGCCCAUAAGACUGGGAUAACUCCGGGAAACCGGGGCUAAUACCGGAUAAUAUUUUGAACCGCAUGGUUCGAAAUUGAAAGGCGGCUUCGGCUGUCACUUAUGGAUGGACCCGCGUCGCAUUAGCUAGUUGGUGAGGUAACGGCUCACCAAGGCAACGAUGCGUAGCCGACCUGAGAGGGUGAUCGGCCACACUGGGACUGAGACACGGCCCAGACUCCUACGGGAGGCAGCAGUAGGGAAUCUUCCGCAAUGGACGAAAGUCUGACGGAGCAACGCCGCGUGAGUGAUGAAGGCUUUCGGGUCGUAAAACUCUGUUGUUAGGGAAGAACAAGUGCUAGUUGAAUAAGCUGGCACCUUGACGGUACCUAACCAGAAAGCCACGGCUAACUACGUGCCAGCAGCCGCGGUAAUACGUAGGUGGCAAGCGUUAUCCGGAAUUAUUGGGCGUAAAGCGCGCGCAGGUGGUUUCUUAAGUCUGAUGUGAAAGCCCACGGCUCAACCGUGGAGGGUCAUUGGAAACUGGGAGACUUGAGUGCAGAAGAGGAAAGUGGAAUUCCAUGUGUAGCGGUGAAAUGCGUAGAGAUAUGGAGGAACACCAGUGGCGAAGGCGACUUUCUGGUCUGUAACUGACACUGAGGCGCGAAAGCGUGGGGGAGCAAACAGGAUUAGAUACCCCCUGGUAGUUCCA